UACGUAGGGUGCAAGCGUUGUCCGGAAUUAUUGGGCGUAAAGAGCUCGUAGGCGGUUUGUCGCGUCUGCUGUGAAAACUCGGGGCUUAACUCCGGGCCUGCAGUGGGUACGGGCAGACUAGAGUGCGGUAGGGGAGACUGGAAUUCCUGGUGUAGCGGUGAAAUGCGCAGAUAUCAGGAGGAACACCCGUAGCGAAGGCGGCUCUGCGGCAAUACUGCUGAGGAGCGAAAGCGUGGGGAGCGAACAGG
Molecule: ribosomal RNA, 248 nt
Filed under: uncultured bacterium
Lineage: Bacteria
Description: partial 16S ribosomal RNA
Rfam family: Bacterial small subunit ribosomal RNA
Source: RNAcentral